UAGUUUGCCGUCUUUCAUAAU
Molecule: non-coding RNA, 21 nt
Organism: Caenorhabditis elegans
Lineage: Eukaryota; Metazoa; Nematoda; Chromadorea; Rhabditida; Rhabditidae
Source: Ensembl